AUAAAAGCUAUGGAUUCUAUUGUGUAAACAUCUUAACAAAAUUAGUCUUUAAUGUGGUGAGCCGGGUGUAAAAGGUACGCCCAUAUUUGGUGUCAUCAAGGUUUACCAGCAGAAAUACUAUUGGACUGAAUCAAACUGCCAGCUUUCCUUUAGAUUCAAAGGAGGAUUUAUUUUUGCCAUUGAUAUCUCUGAAGAGGCAAAAAGAUGUAUUGAAGAAGAGAUGGUGGCCACUGAAGCCAUACUUAAACAAAAUGAGAAGACAUCCAGUAAUUGUAGCUGCCAGUACUAAGGAAGACCUUAAAUCCAAAAAAGAGAGAAAUUCCAAAAUUAGAAUCCCCACAAGUACCUUCAAUGGGCUGCAAUAGAAUGAGAGGGUGUUCACUUCCACCUGUACCAGUAGAUCACUACACAAAGAUGGAUGCCUUCUCCGCCAGAAACAUAAUUACUCUAAAAAUGAUGUCUUGCAGCAAAUAAAAAUGGUAUAAGAAAUUUCUUUAAAGAAAGGGAAUUCCGGUAGGGUGCGGUUUGGCUGAGUAAUUGUAAUUCUAACGAUUGAUUUAGUCAAUGGUUAAAACUAAUUCUAAUUCAAAUGAUUACAUUGCCAAUCAUCAAGUAAUUGCAAUCAUAAUGAUUAAUGACUCUAAAUAAUUACAACAACCCUGAUUGUAAUAUGGGCUUUGGUUCCUGUUUCUAAAGUUCUACUACCAUAAUAAAUCCUCCAUUUUAAUAAGUCUCAUAUAAAAGCUUCGUUGAAUGCUUUUUCUAUUUAUAGUAGGAAAGUUGGAAGUUAAUGAAUACUGUUUAUUUUAGUUUUAUCUCAAAGUGAUGCAUUUGUUUUUAACAGGAGCAACGCCUGCAGACACUGUCAGGAAUUUUGAAUUGUUUCUAAGGGAUGCCGUCCUUGGCAUCGCAGGAGGACCUACUCCAUUAGUGUUCGUAAAGGGCAAUCCCUUUUUAAGAGCCUAUCAUAAAUUGAGGCAGGCUGAACUCUCUGCUGUUAUCAACUUUUUUACCGUAAAAGAAGAAUGGGCAGAAGAAUGCUGGCGAUGCAGCUUAUCAGCUGGAACGUUCAUUACAAUAUCAAAAGAUGGUGUUGGAUCGUGCACCAUGAUUCCAGUUAAUGCAGGACCUUUUAUGCCUCAUUCUUGCAAUUUACCUCUAUCUUUCAAUGGGCCAUGAUACCACUGAUAUCAUCACAUAAUGAGUCUUACAUAAUUAAAGACAAAGGCAUCAAGACAACACUAAGACUAAAAACUUAUCUAUUAAAUUAUUUUUUUUUUUAAUAAUUAUUAUUGUUCAAACAUUUGGCACUGUGCAGCAAA
Molecule: long non-coding RNA, 1322 nt
Organism: Amphimedon queenslandica
Lineage: Eukaryota; Metazoa; Porifera; Demospongiae; Haplosclerida; Niphatidae
Exons: 4
Source: RefSeq, a predicted model, not a curated record